This 402-nucleotide ribosomal RNA is filed under the name uncultured bacterium. RNAcentral's name for it is "bacterial SSU rRNA". It matches the Rfam family "Bacterial small subunit ribosomal RNA", at positions 355 to 774 of the family's 1533-position model. The record is from RNAcentral.
UGGGGAAUUUUGCGCAAUGGGCGAAAGCCUGACGCAGCAAUACCGCGUGAGUGAAGAAGGCCUUUGGGUCGUAAAGCUCUUUUCUAGGGGAAGAUAGUGACGGUACCCUAGGAAUAAGCACCGGCUAACUCCGUGCCAGCAGCCGCGGUAAUACGGAGGGUGCAAGCGUUGUUCGGAUUUACUGGGCGUAAAGGGCACGUAGGCGGCAUAGCAAGUUAAGGGUGAAAUCCCGGGGCUCAACUCCGGAACUGCUCUUAAAACUGCUAAGCUAGAGAUGGUCAGAGGCGGGUGGAAUUCCAGGUGUAGAGGUGAAAUUCGUAGAUAUCUGGAGGAACACCGGUGGCGAAGGCGGCCCGCUGGGGCCAUUCUGACGCUGAGGUGCGAAAGCAUGGGGAGCGAACG